Molecule: ribosomal RNA, 454 nt
Filed under: uncultured bacterium
Lineage: Bacteria
Description: partial 16S ribosomal RNA
Rfam family: Bacterial small subunit ribosomal RNA
Source: RNAcentral
GAUGAACGCUGACAGAAUGCUUAACACAUGCAAGUCUACUUGAACUUCGGUUUGGGUGGCGGACGGGUGAGUAACGCGUACAGAACUUGCCUCACAGUUAGGGACAACAUUUGGAAACGAAUGCUAAUACCUGAUAUUAUGAUUUUAGGGCAUCCUAAAAUUAUGAAAGCUAUAUGCGCUGUGAGAGAGCUUUGCGUCCCAUUAGCUAGUUGGAGAGGUAACGGCUCACCAAGGCGAUGAUGGGUAGCCGGCCUGAGAGGGUGAACGGCCACAAGGGGACUGAGACACGGCCCUUACGCAUACGGGAGGCAACAGUGGGGAAUAUUGGACAAUGGACCAAAAGUCUGAUCCAGCAAUUCGGUGUGCACGAUGACGUUUUUCGGAAUGUAAAGUGCUUUCAGUUGGGAAGAAAAAAAUGACGGUACCAACAGAAGAAGUGACGGCUAAAUACGUG